AAUUGGGGUCCAAAAUUAAACUUUUUUUUUGUUUGAUUUCAACAAAAAUUGAAUAUAUGAGGUUCUUUGAUAUGCUGAAUCUAACCAUGUAUUUAGAUUUUUUAUUUGUAGGCCCCGCUAUCAAAUUGGUUCAUAUUGAGGUCAAAAGGGUCCAAAAUUAAACUUUGUUUGAUUUCAUCAAAAAUUGAAUUAUUGGGGUUCUUUGAUAUGCCAAAUCUAACCGUGUUUUUAGAUUUUUAAUUUGGGUCCCAUUUUUUUAAAUUGGUCUACAUUAAGGUCCAAAGGGUCCAAAAUUAAACUUAGUUUGAUUUUAGCAAAAAUUGAAUUAUUGGGGUUCUUUGAUAUGCUGAAUCUAAACAUGUGUUUAGAUUUUUGAUUAUGGGCCCAGUUUUCAAGUUUGUCCAAGUUGGGGUCCAAAAUUAAACUUUGUUUGAUUUCAACAAAAAUUGAAAAUAUGGGGUUCUUUGAUAUGCUGAAUCUAACCAUGUAUUUUGAUUUUGGACAUUGGACCAUAAUAGGUAAAUUAAAAAAAUUCAAGUUCUUAGACCACAUUCUUUCUGUGUCAGAAACCUAUGCUGUGUCAAAUAUUUAAUAACAAUCCAAAUUCAGAGCUGUAUCAAGCUUGAAUGUUGUGUCCAUACUUGCCCCAACUGUUCAGGGUUCGACCUCUGCGGUCGUAUCAAGCUGCGCCCCAGCGAAGCAUUUUAUUA
This is a long non-coding RNA of Mytilus californianus (California mussel), 710 nucleotides long. RefSeq lists it as uncharacterized. NCBI's taxonomy places the organism in Eukaryota, Metazoa, Mollusca, Bivalvia, Mytilida, Mytilidae. The transcript is spliced from 2 exons. The record is from RefSeq and is a predicted model, not a curated record.